Molecule: long non-coding RNA, 546 nt
Filed under: Mytilus galloprovincialis (Mediterranean mussel)
Lineage: Eukaryota; Metazoa; Mollusca; Bivalvia; Mytilida; Mytilidae
Source: RNAcentral
GCCUGGGAUAAGAAAAUCCUUAGUUUUUCCGUAAAUUCAAAGUUUUGUAAACAGGAAAUUUAUAAAAUGACCACAUUAAUGAUAUUCAUGUCAACACCGAAGUGUUGACUACUGGGCUUGUGAUACCCUCGGGGACGAAACGUCCACCAGCAGUGGCAUCGACCCAGUGGUGUAAAUAGUUAUCAAAGGUACCAGGAUUAUAAUUUAGUACGCCAGACGCGCGUUUCGUCUACAUAAGACUCAUCAGUGACGCUCAUAUCAAAAUAUUUAUAAAGCCAAACAAGUAAAAAGUUGAAGAGCAUUGAGGAUCCAAAAGUCCAAAAAGUUGUUCCGAAUACGGCUAAGGUAAUCUAUGCCUGGGAUAAGAAAAUCCUUAGUUUUUCCGUAAAUUCAAAGUUUUGUAAACAGGAAAUUUAUAAAAUGACCACAUUAAUGAUAUUCAUGUCAACACCGACGUGUUGACUACUGGGCUUGUGAUACCCUCGGGGACGAAACGUCCACCAGCAGUGGCAUCGACCCAGUGGUGUAAAUAGUUAUCAAAGGUAC